UUACGGGAAACCGGAGCUAAUACCGGAUAAUUAUUUCGAACCGCAUGGUUCGAUAGUUAAAGAUGGUUUUGCUAUCACUUAUAGAUGGACCCGCGCCGUAUUAGCUAGUUGGUAAGGUAACGGCUUACCAAGGCGACGAUACGUAGCCGACCUGAGAGGGUGAUCGGCCACACUGGAACUGAGACACGGUCCAGACUCCUACGGGAGGCAGCAGGA
Molecule: ribosomal RNA, 216 nt
Filed under: uncultured Staphylococcus sp.
Lineage: Bacteria; Bacillati; Bacillota; Bacilli; Caryophanales; Staphylococcaceae
Description: partial 16S ribosomal RNA
Rfam family: Bacterial small subunit ribosomal RNA
Source: RNAcentral